Podarcis lilfordi (Lilford's wall lizard) is the source of this 72-nucleotide non-coding RNA. The record is from the annotation of a GenBank genome assembly. NCBI's taxonomy places the organism in Eukaryota, Metazoa, Chordata, Lepidosauria, Squamata, Lacertidae.
AAUAUUUAGCUCAGUCCGUAAAGCAUGAGACUCUUAAUCUCAGGGUCAAGGGUUCAAGUUCCACAUUGGAUG